RNAcentral lists this long non-coding RNA (393 nucleotides) under Setaria italica (foxtail millet). RNAcentral describes it as "long non-coding RNA (SITA_LNC005861)". Lineage: Eukaryota; Viridiplantae; Streptophyta; Magnoliopsida; Poales; Poaceae. The record is from RNAcentral.
UGGCGGCAUUGCCGGAAUUGGAAGGAACUGUACAGCAGCAGCAGUGGUAGUGUUGUGGAGAGGAUGGUGGUGAGGGGAAGGGGACUGAGGGAGAUGAGGGGUGGUUCGUUUGUGAUCUCGCCUGGUCGCGAAAGUUUUGGUGCGGCGAUCGGGUGAGCUUUGUUCUUGUGUUUUUGGUUGCGGAGCGGAGGUGAUCACUUGUCAGUGAUUCUUGGAUUGUUUUGUGAUUUGAGAGUAGAGGUUUUGUUGUUGGUCUUCUAGGUGCUUUUUAAAGUCUAGAAGCAAUCAAAUUGAAGCAGUAGCAGUAGAGGGAGUAACGAGCGAAGCUGUGUCGGUGUUUAUGCGCUGAAUUUUGAACGCUUGUGCUGCUACCGAAGUGGUAGCAAGAUGUGU